CAGGCUGUUGACAAAAUACCAUAUUGACCAUUUGUAGACAUUAAAUGUUUUUCUGUAACAUGGAACUAUUUAAACUCGGGAAUUUUCUUACAUCUACACAUCUCGUGCACAGCAAGGGCUACAGCCGUGAUAUAUUUACUUAUUUAGAAUACUUACUUAGAAUGGUUAAAAUGUUUUUUUCUUCCGACAGUCUGAUCAUUUUAGAUACCUACCAAUACAGCCGAUUUUAAAUAAAUUCAUGAUUUAAUUUAGACUCCAUGAAACCUGAUAGAAGUGUAGUAUCGAUUUAUUUUUCUCUCGAACGCC
RNAcentral lists this long non-coding RNA (306 nucleotides) under Mytilus galloprovincialis (Mediterranean mussel). The record is from RNAcentral. Lineage: Eukaryota; Metazoa; Mollusca; Bivalvia; Mytilida; Mytilidae.